RNAcentral lists this ribosomal RNA (229 nucleotides) under uncultured bacterium. Its description in RNAcentral is "partial 16S ribosomal RNA". It matches the Rfam family "Bacterial small subunit ribosomal RNA", at positions 109 to 334 of the family's 1533-position model. The record is from RNAcentral.
AGUAACACGUAAGUAAUCUACCUUCGAGUGGGGAAUAACGUCCGGAAACGGACGCUAAUACCGGCAUAAUGCAGCGGCAUCGCAAGAUGACAGUUGUUAAAGGAGCAAUUCGCUUGAAGAGGAGCUUGCGGCAGAUUAGCUAGUUGGUAAGGUAAUGGCUUACCAAGGCUACGAUCUGUAACCGGUCUAAGAGGACGGUCGGUCACACUGACACUGAAUAACGGGUCAG